CCUACGGGCGGCAGCAGUGAGGAAUAUUGGUCAAUGGGCGCGAGCCUGAACCAGCCAAGUCGCGUGAGGGAGGACGGCCCUACGGGUUGUAAACCUCUUUUGCCGGGGAGCAACGGGCGCCACGUGUGGCGUCCCGGAGAGGACCCGGAGAAAAAGCAGCGGCUAACUCCGGGCCAGCAGCCGCGGUAAUAAGGAGGAUGCGAGCGUGAGCCGGAUUGAUUGGGUUUAAAGGGUGCGUAGGCGGCCCGUGAAGGCCGUGGGCAACUUGAGGGGCUCAACCCCUUCCCGCCAUUGAAACUGGCGUUCUUGAGUGGAAUAGAAGUAUGCGGAAUGCGUGUUGUAGCGG
Molecule: ribosomal RNA, 346 nt
Filed under: uncultured bacterium
Lineage: Bacteria
Description: partial 16S ribosomal RNA
Rfam family: Bacterial small subunit ribosomal RNA
Source: RNAcentral